UUGUUUAGUUCUUUUACUGCUCUUCUUGUCAUUAGAUUCUAGAUGUUGUAUACUAUGAUAUCUCUAAUUACUCGUUAUACUUGUUUUAUUUAUCGCUUUAUUCUAGAUGUCUUAGAUAUUGUUGGCAUAUGGCGGGUCUGGACACGCACCGGGCAGGCCUCCGCUGGGUCCCGGGGCGUGACAGGGCGAAGAUGAUGACGGUGGCAUAGAUCUUAACGGCCGGCGGAUUUGAUUUGAUAUUUUCGAAAGAUGUUGAAAGGUCCGAAGAAACGGGGAAUCAAAGAUUCCCUUUCCCUCUUUUUUCAAAAAUAUCAAACCGGCGAUGCUGGAGAUGACGUCGAUGAAGAUGAUGACGGUGGCGCGGAUCUGUUCGGCCGUCGGAUUUGAUUUGACAUUUUCGAAAGAUGUUGAAUGGUCCGAAGAAACGGAGAAUUGAAGAUUCCUCUCUCCUCUUCUUUCGAAAAUAUUGAACCG
This 474-nucleotide long non-coding RNA is filed under the name Ananas comosus (pineapple). RNAcentral's name for it is "long non-coding RNA (ACOM_LNC036038)". The record is from RNAcentral. Lineage: Eukaryota; Viridiplantae; Streptophyta; Magnoliopsida; Poales; Bromeliaceae.